UCCUUUCAAGGAUGUGUUCUGACAACUUUCCUGACGCAAGUCCGGAAGGUUUUGGAAUGCUUCUUAAAUAAAGUCCUUGCCUGCAGGAUCGGGCAAGGCACAGCCAGGUAGGCUGCCUGCACUUCGGUGUAACGCGCCGUCAACAUAUCCCUUCCAGCGACAAUCAAUGGACCCUUUUGGGGCUAGUAGCUCAGUUGGUUAGAGCACACGCUUGAUAAGCGUGGGGUCGGAGGUUCAAGUCCUCCCUGGCCCACCAGUCCUCUGCCGUAUGGCCACGCUGUGGCCGUGCACUGAUGGGGGCGUAGCUCAGCUGGGAGAGCACCUGCUUUGCAAGCAGGGGGUCGUCGGUUCGAUCCCGUCCGCCUCCACCACCGACCAUCGGGUUGGAUACUGGUGUUGAGAAGGUUGGGAACGAUCGGAAGAUCGGGAGAUUGUCGCCGGAAGAUAAUGGAGAUCGGACGGAUGCCUUGUGGAACCGCGUUGGCGGUGCACGAGGUGUUGCGGUCUGGUAAGUUUGCUCUUUGAUAAGUGAAUAGGUUGGUGCGUUUGUGGACGUGCCUGUGUCGCGGGUUGGUCUGACCCGUGGAUGGUCCGAGCAGUCGGAGUGUCCAUGCUAAGCGACAGGGGCGUGAGCGUUCAUAAGCGAGUUAAGUGUUGAAUUGUGCGAUGCACUGCACUUUCUCUGUGCGGGUGUUGUUGCUCGAUCUGGCGGUUUUGUAUGUGAGUAAUCAGAUAUGGACCUGCGGGCUUGAGUGGAUGGCUCCUGUGCAUGUGUGGGCAAUGAGCGCGAUAAGGGCAUUCGGUGG
Molecule: transfer RNA, 806 nt
Filed under: Komagataeibacter sp.
Lineage: Bacteria; Pseudomonadati; Pseudomonadota; Alphaproteobacteria; Acetobacterales; Acetobacteraceae
Description: partial may contain 16S ribosomal RNA, 16S-23S ribosomal RNA intergenic spacer, and 23S ribosomal RNA
Rfam family: tRNA (bases 180-253)
Source: RNAcentral